Molecule: ribosomal RNA, 253 nt
Filed under: uncultured bacterium
Lineage: Bacteria
Description: partial 16S ribosomal RNA
Rfam family: Bacterial small subunit ribosomal RNA
Source: RNAcentral
UACGUAGGGUGCGAGCGUUAAUCGGAAUUACUGGGCGUAAAGCGUGCGCAGGCGGCUUCGCAAGUCAGACGUGAAAUCCCCGGGCUUAACCUGGGAAUGGCGUUUGAAACUACGGAGCUGGAGUGUGGCAGAGGGAGGUAGAAUUCCACGUGUAGCGGUGAAAUGCGUAGAUAUGUGGAGGAAUACCGAUGGCGAAGGCAGCCCCCUGGGCCAAUACUGACGCUCAGGCACGAAAGCGUGGGGAGCAAACAGG